GGGUUGUGAGGUUAAGCGACUAAGCGUACACGGUGGAUGCCCUGGCAGUCAGAGGCGAUGAAGGGCGUGCUAAUCUGCGAUAAGCGCCGGUAAGGUGAUAUGAACCGUUAUAACCGGCGAUACCCGAAUGGGGAAACCCAGUGUGAUUCGUCACACUAUCAUUAACUGAAUCCAUAGGUUAAUGAGGCGAACCGGGGGAACUGAAACAUCUAAGUACCCCGAGGAAAAGAAAUCAACCGAGAUUCCCCCAGUAGCGGCGAGCGAACGGGGAGGAGCCCAGAGCCUGAAUCAGCAUGUGUGUUAGUGGAAGCGUCUGGAAAGGCGCGCGAUACAGGGUGACAGCCCCGUACACAAAAGCGCAUGUGCUGUGAGCUCGAUGAGUAGGGCGGGACACGUGGUAUCCUGUCUGAAUAUGGGGGGACCAUCCUCCAAGGCUAAAUACUCCUGACUGACCGAUAGUGAACCAGUACCGUGAGGGAAAGGCGAAAAGAACCCCGGCGAGGGGAGUGAAAAAGAACCUGAAACCGUGUACGUACAAGCAGUGGGAGCACCCUUUGGGUGUGACUGCGUACCUUUUGUAUAAUGGGUCAGCGACUUAUAUUCUGUAGCAAGGUUAACCGAAUAGGGGAGCCGGAGGGAAACCGAGUCUUAACCGGGCGUUAAGUUGCAGGGUAUAGACCCGAAACCCGGUGAUCUAGCCAUGGGCAGGUUGAAGGUUGGGUAACACUAACUGGAGGACCGAACCGACUAAUGUUGAAAAAUUAGCGGAUGACCUGUGGCUGGGGGUGAAAGGCCAAUCAAACCGGGAGAUAGCUGGUUCUCCCCGAAAGCUAUUUAGGUAGCGCCUCGUGAAUUCAUCUCCGGGGGUAGAGCACUGUUUCGGCUAGGGGGCCAUCCCGGCUUACCAACCCGAUGCAAACUGCGAAUACCGGAGAAUGUUAUCACGGGAGACACACGGCGGGUGCUAACGUCCGUCGUGAAGAGGGAAACAACCCAGACCGCCAGCUAAGGUCCCAAAGUCAUGGUUAAGUGGGAAACGAUGUGGGAAGGCCCAGACAGCCAGGAUGUUGGCUUAGAAGCAGCCAUCAUUUAAAGAAAGCGUAAUAGCUCACUGGUCGAGUCGGCCUGCGCGGAAGAUGUAACGGGGCUAAACCAUGCACCGAAGCUGCGGCAGCGACACUGUGUGUUGUUGGGUAGGGGAGCGUUCUGUAAGCCUGUGAAGGUGUGUCGUGAGGCAUGCUGGAGGUAUCAGAAGUGCGAAUGCUGACAUAAGUAACGAUAAAGCGGGUGAAAAGCCCGCUCGCCGGAAGACCAAGGGUUCCUGUCCAACGUUAAUCGGGGCAGGGUGAGUCGACCCCUAAGGCGAGGCCGAAAGGCGUAGUCGAUGGGAAACGGGUUAAUAUUCCCGUACUUGGUGUUACUGCGAAGGGGGGACGGAGAAGGCUAUGUUGGCCGGGCGACGGUUGUCCCGGUUUAAGCGUGUAGGUGUGUGUUCCAGGUAAAUCCGGUUCACUUUAACACUGAGGCGUGACGACGAGGCACUACGGUGCUGAAGCAACAAAUGCCCUGCUUCCAGGAAAAGCCUCUAAGCAUCAGGUAACAUCAAAUCGUACCCCAAACCGACACAGGUGGUCAGGUAGAGAAUACCAAGGCGCUUGAGAGAACUCGGGUGAAGGAACUAGGCAAAAUGGUGCCGUAACUUCGGGAGAAGGCACGCUGACACGUAGGUGAAGUGAUUUACUCAUGGAGCUGAAGUCAGUCGAAGAUACCAGCUGGCUGCAACUGUUUAUUAAAAACACAGCACUGUGCAAACACGAAAGUGGACGUAUACGGUGUGACGCCUGCCCGGUGCCGGAAGGUUAAUUGAUGGGGUCAGCGCAAGCGAAGCUCCUGAUCGAAGCCCCGGUAAACGGCGGCCGUAACUAUAACGGUCCUAAGGUAGCGAAAUUCCUUGUCGGGUAAGUUCCGACCUGCACGAAUGGCGUAAUGAUGGCCAGGCUGUCUCCACCCGAGACUCAGUGAAAUUGAACUCGCUGUGAAGAUGCAGUGUACCCGCGGCAAGACGGAAAGACCCCGUGAACCUUUACUAUAGCUUGACACUGAACAUUGAGCCUUGAUGUGUAGGAUAGGUGGGAGGCUUUGAAGUGUGGACGCCAGUCUGCAUGGAGCCGACCUUGAAAUACCACCCUUUAAUGUUUGAUGUUCUAACGUGGACCCGUUACCCGGGUUGCGGACAGUGUCUGGUGGGUAGUUUGACUGGGGCGGUCUCCUCCUAAAGAGUAACGGAGGAGCACGAAGGUUGGCUAAUCCUGGUCGGACAUCAGGAGGUUAGUGCAAUGGCAUAAGCCAGCUUGACUGCGAGCGUGACGGCGCGAGCAGGUGCGAAAGCAGGUCAUAGUGAUCCGGUGGUUCUGAAUGGAAGGGCCAUCGCUCAACGGAUAAAAGGUACUCCGGGGAUAACAGGCUGAUACCGCCCAAGAGUUCAUAUCGACGGCGGUGUUUGGCACCUCGAUGUCGGCUCAUCACAUCCUGGGGCUGAAGUAGGUCCCAAGGGUAUGGCUGUUCGCCAUUUAAAGUGGUACGCGAGCUGGGUUUAGAACGUCGUGAGACAGUUCGGUCCCUAUCUGCCGUGGGCGCUGGAGAACUGAGGGGGGCUGCUCCUAGUACGAGAGGACCGGAGUGGACGCAUCACUGGUGUUCGGGUUGUCAUGCCAAUGGCACUGCCCGGUAGCUAAAUGCGGAAGAGAUAAGUGCUGAAAGCAUCUAAGCACGAAACUUGCCCCGAGAUGAGUUCUCCCUGAGACUUAAAGUCUCCUGAAGGAACGUUGAAGACGACGACGUUGAUAGGC
This 2849-nucleotide ribosomal RNA is filed under the name Salmonella enterica subsp. enterica serovar Enteritidis. RNAcentral's name for it is "partial 23S ribosomal RNA". It matches the Rfam family "Bacterial large subunit ribosomal RNA". The record is from RNAcentral. Lineage: Bacteria; Pseudomonadati; Pseudomonadota; Gammaproteobacteria; Enterobacterales; Enterobacteriaceae.